UCAGCGGAAAGGGACUUACGACCUUCCUCUUCACCAGAACUGCUCCAGCGGGGGGUGCAGAGGGGUUACCACCAGCAUAGAAUAGCUACAAUACACACAAUCAGGCAGUGAAUCUGAACCUCACAGGAAGUCAGAUAGAGAAGUUGUGGAGAGAGAGAGAGGAGAGGAAGGUGUCUUUCUCUGCCUCAGUGCAGUCAUCUGGAGGUGGACAUACGGGACCUUUUUCAGCUGAAACUAGUGAUCUUCAGACACGUCUUCACUAACAUUGGAAACGGUUACAACCCAAGCACAGGAGUCUUCAGAGCUCCAGUCAGAGGGGUCUACCACUUUGUUUUAUUUUUACACGGCUAUGGUCACCAAUCUGGACCUGUAGCAGCCAGGCUUCGUAAGAAUGGAGAGAAUGUUGUUUGUCCUUACAGUAGGCAGACAAAUGGAAGUAUGACUCCCUCUAAUGGAGCCUCUCUGCUACUGGAGGUGGGAGAUGUGGUCUAUGUGAAGUUGUGGGCUAAUGCAUGGUUCUUUGAUAAUAUAAACCAUCACACAACCUUCUCUGGCCAUCUGCUCUUCCCCAUGUGAGGAGUCAGUCCUGAAGUGAAUAUUAUGUAAUAUUCCAUUAUUGUCCACCCAAUAGCCUGCCUUGAAAGCACAAACCACCUAUACAGAGACAGAUCUGCUAGAUAGUUGGUGUCUUUGCCUUUCUUAAUGUCACCAAUUACUGUUAUUUCUGAGCACUAAAAGACUAUGAUUAUAAUUUGAGAUGAUUAUUUCAAAGGGCUUGUUUUAUUUUUACAUAUUUGACUUGAAUAAUAAACAAGGAUAAAACGUU
Long non-coding RNA from Sardina pilchardus (European sardine), 826 nucleotides. RefSeq lists it as uncharacterized. Lineage: Eukaryota; Metazoa; Chordata; Actinopteri; Clupeiformes; Clupeidae. The record is from RefSeq and is a predicted model, not a curated record. The transcript is spliced from 3 exons.